CCAAUUAACGUAAUAACUGCUUCCAGUGCAGGAGAUGGUGACCCUCUGGCCCAGGGCCGCAGACACUGAGGAUGG
Molecule: long non-coding RNA, 75 nt
Organism: Lynx canadensis (Canada lynx)
Lineage: Eukaryota; Metazoa; Chordata; Mammalia; Carnivora; Felidae
Exons: 3
Source: RefSeq, a predicted model, not a curated record